Molecule: long non-coding RNA, 240 nt
Filed under: Fukomys damarensis (Damara mole-rat)
Lineage: Eukaryota; Metazoa; Chordata; Mammalia; Rodentia; Bathyergidae
Description: lncRNA (ENSFDAG00000028435.1)
Source: RNAcentral
CACAAUCCAGUAGCAGCCGUCGCCCAAGCUCAGUUGGCCGGAGACGGGCAACAGCGAACAUGCUGAGCUGCUUCCCCACUUCGCGAGGCCGCAGCCCCAGGACCCCAGGCAGAGAAAGUAUCUGUGAAAGAUUGAGAAGACGGUUGACACCAUCCAGACGCAGCAGGCCGCACUGCAGCAGCGACACAACUGUGGGGAAUUCGGGACUCAUGGCUUCCCGUUCAGUCUUCUCAUCUUGGC